RNAcentral lists this long non-coding RNA (8078 nucleotides) under Manihot esculenta (cassava). RNAcentral describes it as "long non-coding RNA (MESC_LNC009215)". The record is from RNAcentral. Lineage: Eukaryota; Viridiplantae; Streptophyta; Magnoliopsida; Malpighiales; Euphorbiaceae.
UCAUGGAAUGCAUCACAUCACAGCUAAUCACAUCAAGGAUGAACUUGUCACCAAUAGCCCUCUACAUAGUCCAACUGUGCCAGAACGUAGAAUGGGUCCUGGUCUUUCUCUUACAUAACAUAGCAUAACAUAACAGUCCAACUGUGCCAGAACGUAGAAUGGGUCCUGGUCUUUCCCUUACAUGGUGCCAGCGAACGUAGAAUGGGUCCCACUGGUCUUACAUUCCGUACCGUACAUAUCACAUCGUCAUAUCAUAGAUCGAGGGCUUUGGAUCAUCCAACGUUCAUCCACAUCAAUCAACAAUAAAGUAUGCAAUGCAACAUAUUCGUGAAUUCUAAUGCAAACAACCUAGUACAUUUCAUGGCAUUCAUGAUGCGUGAAACAUGCUAAAAAGUCCAUUAUUUGCUUUAAAACAUAAUGAGUUAUUCCACUCACCUCCGGGUAGCUCUGACCAGACACUGGAGCAGCUGACUCACUGCUGGGGUCCUCGGUUCCUCGGGUCCGAACCUACACAGGUGGACUCAAAUGAGGGACCAAACAAACAUGAACAUAACUCUAAACUACUCCCCAAAAACCCCCUAAAACAUCAUGAAACAAUCAUAGAAAAACAUGCAAAAGAGGGCUGGACAGGGCACUUUCGGCGGCAGGUUCGGCGGCCGAAAGUCCCUCCAGAGCCGAAAGUCAGGCAGGUUCGGCGGCACCUUCGGCGGCCGAAACUCCCAGACAGAGGCGAAACUCAUGCAUGUUCGGCGGCACUUUCGGCGGCCGAAACUCCCAGACAAAGACGAAAGUCUCCCUUCGGGGGCAAGCUUCGGCAGCCGAAGGCUGCCUCCAAAAGCAUGUUCGGCGGCCGAAAGUUCCUUCGGCUGCCGAACCUGGUUUCUCCCUUAGUGGCAGAAACUCAGCUCUUCAAUGCACAUUUGCCUCCAAAACUAUCCAAUCAAGCAUAAACCUAUUCUACAACAUUCCCAAUCACACACAAACAAGUAUACAAGUUCCUAGGGGCAUCAAACCAUCAAAAACCCCAACUACAACACAACAAGCAACUCACAUUGUUCAUAAACACAUAUAAAACCCAUAAACCUAACGAUGAGCUAAACAUGCAUUCUACCCCAUAGAUCCACUUAAAACUUACUCAAAACAUGCAAUGAGCUUAAGAUCGGCUCUUACCUCGUGGAGAUCGAGAGAGACGACCUAAACUCGGAGAUGGGAGGGGUUGAGUUCCCUUGAACCUCAAAGCUCCAAAACUUUGCUCAAAGCUUGAAAAUCUUCAAAACAAAGUAAAAACUCAUGAAAAUCGAGUAGGAUUGGAAGGAAAGAACUCAAGAUCGGUGAGGGACAGCGGAGAGCUCACCUUGGCCGGAAAUGGUGAAAAAGCUUGCCCGUUUUCGGCUAAGGGACCCUUUUAUAGUGGCUGGCCAGGCCAUGUUCGGGGGCCGAAUGUGCCUCCGCAUGCAUGCCAUGUUCGGCGGCCGAACUUGAGGUUCGGCAGCCGAACCUGGACUUCCCUCACUUAUGCUUUCGGGGGCCUAAAAGCACUCCCGAAGGCAUGCAUGUUUGGCGGCCGAACCUGAGUUUUCCUCCAAGGUUGUUUUCAUGCAAAAACUCAUUUCCAUUUUACUUAAAACCAUGAAAUACCUUAAAACAUUUUAUGAAAACAUGUUUCUACCCUACUAGAGGCUUCCGACAUCCGAGAUUCCACCGAACGGUAGGAAUUCCGAUACCGGAGUCUAGCCGGGUAUUACAUUCUCCCCCCCUUAAGAACAUUCGUCCCCGAAUAUUCCUCAACUAGCACAUAGCAUGGCAUAAGACAUAACAUACAUACAUAGCACAUAAACACAUAGAGAUCUAACCUUAAAAGAGAUGAGGGUACUGCUGGAGCAUAGACUCCCGUGUCUCCCAAGUGCAUUCCUCCAAAUCGUGGUGGUUCCACAGGACUUUCACCAUCGGGAUUUCCUUGUUUCUUAGCUUUCUGAUCUGAGUGUCUAUGAUCCGUACUGGCUGUUCAACAUAGGUGAGAUCCUCUUGGACCUCCACAUCAGGCUCACUAAGAACCUUGCUCGAAUCUGACACAAACUUCCUCAACAUUGAAACAUGGAAAAUCGGAUGGAUUCUUUCCAUUGAAGCAGGUAAAUCCAGCUUGUACGACACAUUCCCGAUCUUUUGCAAGAUUUCAAAGGGUCCGAUGUAUUGUGGGGCUAGUUUACCUUUCUUCCCGAAGCGAACCACUCCUUUCAUAGGAGACACCUUGAGCAAUACCAGAUCCCCCUCCUGAAACUCGACCUGCCUUCUGCGGAUGUCUGCAUAGCUCUUCUGUCUGCUUGCAGCAGUCUUGAUCCUUUCUCUGAUUACGGGUACUACCCUGCUGGUAAUCUCUACUAGCUCAGGCCCUGCCAAGGCCUUUUCUCCAACUUCUUCCCAGCAAAUAGGUGAUCUGCACUUCCUCCCAUACAAAGCUUCAUAUGGAGCCAUCCCGAUGCUAGCAUGAUGGCUGUUAUUGUAGGCAAACUCCACCAAAGGUAGAUGCUGCCUCCAAGAACCGCCAAAGUCCAGCACACACAUUCUGAGCAUAUCCUCGAUAGUCUGGAUGGUCCUUUCUGACUGUCCAUCAGUCUGGGGGUGUAAGGCAGUAUUGAAAUCCAACCUAGUACCCAUGGCAUUCUGCAGACUCCGCCAAAAUCUGGAGGUGAACUGGGGCCCUCUAUCUGACACUAUCGAAACAGGAACCCCAUGCAGUCUGACGACCUCAUCGACAUACACCUGCGCCAACUUGUCCACAGAAUAGCCACUCCUGACAGGGAUGAAGUGAGCAGAUUUGGUGAGUUUGUCCACAAUCACCCAUAUGGAGUCCAAUCUGUUGGACGCCGCCGGUAACCCCACUACGAAGUCCAUAGCUAUAUUCUCCCAUUUCCACUCUGGAAUAGGUAGCGGGUUAAGCAUUCCAGCCGGCUUCUGAUGUUCCAGCUUCACCCUCUGACACACUUCGCAGGCUGACACAAACUGUGCCACUUCUUUCUUCAUAGCUGGCCACCAAUAAACCUUCUUCAGAUCUUGAUACAUCUUGGUGGCUCCGGGGUGAAUGUUGUAUCUUGCAUUAUGAGCCUCCCUCAUAAUGUCUCCUUUUAGCCCGAUGUCGUCUGGUACACAAAGUCUGCUCCCAUAGCGGAGGAUCCCCUUACUGUCAAAUCUGAACUCACUGUCCUUGCCUGACUGAACAGUCCUGGCAAUCUUUACUAACUCUGGGUCCUCAUGCUGUUUCUGAGCCACCUGCUCCAGGAACACAGGUGCCACUCUCAUCUGGGCCACUAAAGCACCUGUACCAGACAACUCCAACUGUAGACCUUCCUCAACGAGCUUGUAAAACUCCUUCACCACUGGCCUCCUUUCUGCCGAUAUGUGGGAUAAACUGCCGAGUGAUUUCCGGCUUAAGGCGUUUGCCACAACAUUCGCCUUACCCGGAUGGUACUGAAUCUUGCAAUCAUAGUCACUCAGCAGCUCCACCCAUCUUUUCUGCCUCAAGUUCAAAUCUCUUUGACUCAGGAUGUACUGCAGGCUCUUAUGAUCUGUAAAGAUCUCACAUUUAACCCCAUAGAGGUAGUGCCUCCACAUCUUGAGUGCAAAGAUUACUGCUGCCAUCUCAAGGUCAUGUGUGGGGUAAUUCAACUCGUGCUUCUUCAGCUUCCUAGAAGCAUAAGCAAUCACCCUCUCAUUCUGCAUUAGUACACAACCCAGUCCCACACGGGACGCAUCACAAAAGACUGUAAAGUCCUCAUCACUAGAUGGCAGAGCUAACAAUGGUUCUGAAGUCAACCUCUUCUUAAGCUCUUCGAAACUCUCUUCGCACUGGUCGGUCCACACAAACUUCUGAUUCUUCCUGGUUAACCUGGUCAGAGGAGCUGCUAUCUUUGAGAAGUCCUGAACGAACCUCCUGUAGUAACCUGCCAAACCCAAGAAGCUCCUGAUCUCCGUCACUGAAGUGGGUCUAGGCCAGUUAGCCACAGUUUCUGUCUUCUUGGGGUCUACCUCUAUACCAUUUUCUGACACCACAUGCCCCAAGAACGAAAUGCUCCUCAGCCAGAACUCACAUUUGGAGAACUUGGCAUACAAGCCAUGUUCCCUCAAGGUCUGUAGAACCAACCUCAGAUGAUGGGCAUGCUCCUCUGCAUUCCUGGAAUACAUUAAGAUAUCGUCUAUGAAGACAAUAACGAAGUGAUCUAGGUAUUGACUAAACACUCUGUUCAUGAGAUCCAUGAAUGCUGCAGGGGCGUUGGUUAACCCGAACGGCAUUACAAGGAACUCAAAAUGCCCAUAUCUGGUCCUGAAAGCUGUCUUUGGUACAUCUUCUUCCCUUAUCCUUAGCUGAUGGUACCCCGAUCUUAGAUCUAUUUUGGAGAAACAACCCGCUCCUGCUAGCUGGUCGAAUAGAUCAUCGAUCCUUGGCAGAGGGUACCUAUUUUUGGUAGUGACUUUGUUCAACUGCCUGUAGUCGAUACAAAGUCUGAGGGACCCAUCCUUCUUUCUCACAAACAAGACCGGAGCACCCCAAGGUGAGGUACUCUGUCGGAUGAAGCCCUUUUCUACCAGCUCUUGCAACUGCUCUUUCAACUCCUUCAACUCAGCUGGGGUCAUCCUGUAGGGAGGGAUAGAGAUCGGUCUAGUUCUAGGCACCAACUCUAUCUCGAACUCUAUCUCCCUAGCAGGUGGUAAACCUGAAAGCUCGUCUGGAAAGACAUCCUGAAACUCUCUGACAACUGGCACCGAGGCUGGCUCCCUGACCUGACUACUAAGCUCUCUCACAUGAGCCAAAUACCCCUGACAUCCCUUCCUAAGCAACCUACGAGCCUAAGAGCUGAUAUCAGACCUCUAGGUGUGCCCCUCUUGUCUCCUCUGAAGACGACCUCUGACCCGUUCUGAUCUCUGAACCUGACUACCUUGUCCCUGCAGUCCAAGGUAGCACCAUGGGUAGAUAGCCAAUCCAUCCCUAGAAUGACGUCAAAGUCUGUCAAAUCUAGAACCACAAGGUCGGCGGAGAGGCAUCUUCCCUCUACAAAAACUGGACUGUACUGGCAGACUGACUCUGCCACUGACGGGUCACACUUGGGUCCACUGACCCAUAGGGGACACUCUAACCCAGAGACUAUCAGACCCAACCUCUCAACGGCUUUCGGAGCGAUAAAUGAAUGAGAUGCACCCGGGUCCAUUAAUGCAUACACAUCAGAACACCCAAUGACGAGAUUACCUGACACCACGGUGUUGGAUGUGUUAGCCUCCUGCUGAGUCAUGGUGAAGAUCCUGGCUGGAGCUGAUGGACCUUCACCUCGGGAACCAGAAGAAGAGGCUGCCCCUCUCCCUCUACCUCUGCCACUGCCCUGAGUUGUGGCUAGAGCUGCUGGCUGUGCCACACUACCAGAAGCUGUCUGCUGGGGUUGGCCCAUAAAAGGUGCUCUAGGACACUCCCGAGCCAUGUGUCCCUCCUGUCCACAUCUGAAACAUGAAUUGGUCCCAGCUCGACACACUCCUCUGUGCGGCUUCCCACACCUUUGGCAUUCUGUACCGUCUGAACCUGAACUCGAGCCACUGCCGAAUCCCAGACCGGAUUUCAACUUACACCAAAAUUUAUUCUUCUUCGGUUUCUUGGUGGUAUUAUUCCACCUCUUGCUACUUGAGCCCUGAGAAGAGAGACCUGGCCCUCCUCUGCCUGGGGUCUUAACCCCUGAAGACUGGGUCACUGACUGCUUCACUGACCCCUCAACUAUAGCACUCGCCUCCAUCCUUCGAGCCAUAUCUACCACAGUGUGGAAACUUUCCCUCUCAACUGACUGAAUCAAAGAGGAGUACCUGGAAUGCAGCUUCAUAACAUAUCUCUUGGCUUUCUUCGAAUCGGUAUCUAGAGCUUGCCCUGAAAAAGGCAAUAGCUCUAAGAAUUUAUCCGUGAACUCCUCCACACUCAUGUGUUCUGUCUGCCUCAGCUGUUCAAACUCAAUCAUCUUCAGUUCUCUGGAACUGUCUGGAAAAGUCCAACCCGCGAACUCAUUCGCAAAUUCUUCUCAUGUCAUGCUGUCUAGUCUUGGGUCCACAUAACACUUGAACCAUUCCCGUGCCUUCUUGCACUUUAAGGUGAACCCCGCCAUCUGAAUGGCCCUGCUAUCAUCCGCCCCUAGCUCAUCAGUUAUUGUCUUCACUACUCUCAGAUACUCAAAGGGGUCAUCCCCUGACUUGUAUUUGGGAGCAUCCAGCUUAAGGUAAUCUGUCAUCUUUACCUUGCUCCCACCGGCUGAGCUAGGUCUGGGAGGUUGAGUAACUGGGGCUGCUGGUUCUGUAGGUGGUGGAGGUGGGGGUGCAGCAUUCCCCGAGGUGGGGUUUGCUGGGUUUGGAUAGAAGGGUGAGGGUGGAUAAGCUGGGUACUGUGUGUAAGGUGGAUAGAAAGGUGGAUAAGGCAUGUAGGUAGGAUAGGGGUUAAAGCUGGAAUAAUCCGACGUACCUCCCAUCGGAUACCCUGAACCCUGUGGAAAGGGUGGAUAAUGGGGUGGAAAACCAUACCCCGAGGCCUGAACGCCUCCCUGUGACUCCCCUGUCCCCUCUUCCUCCAUGCUAACAUCCAGAUUCCCAUCCCUCCUCUGAUCCUCUUCCAUAACCUCCCUCACAUCUGAAGAACUUCCUCCUCUAUCUGUCCCCCUUCUGCUAGCAUCAAAAGACCUUCUAGGGUCCCUUGACACUCUUUCUCUGUUUGCUCUACAUGACAUUUCCCUAGGCAAUGUAGGAGGACGGGCGCUCGUGCCCUCAUCCUCAGGUGGUACUCUAGUCAAUCUUGCAGAUCAACGGGUUCCUCUCAUCCUGUUUUCUGAAAAACAGUACACACCACACAAACAUUAGCAUCAUAUGGUUCAUGUGGGCACACAUGAACCCUCAUCACAUAUACAUCAUUCAUAUCAUAGCAUCAAUGCACAUGUAUAUAAUAAUGGCAUUACACAUCAUCAUACAAGACAGGACUCCACAUCCUAUCCUAGUGGACAUGAUCUUCCUAUUGUGCUUGACUUUCUAGAACAUCUAUGAGCCCGACACUCUAGGUCCGAUCCUAUGAACCUAGGGCUCUGAUACCAUUCUGUAACGACCCGAAAAUCAGACCGCUACCAGCGCUAGGAUCCAGGUCGACUUAAGGCCGCCGGGACCCGUAGCAAGCCUAACAUACAUCCUGUGAACCUGAUUAAUCCCAUACAUGAUCAACAAAAUACAUAAAAAUUUAAAACUUUUCUUUCGUUUCACACACCAAACUCAACCUGUGUAUGCACUAUACAAAAGCAUAAUCAUAAGCAUGACCCCUCUGUGGGAUCUCAUCAAUGCCCCAAUGGGCGAUAUAUCAUAAGUUGAGUUGGUUUGCAUAAUCAUCAUAGAAUAUCUAAGAUCAUGUAUUAAAAGGGAUAUCUUAUACGUAUAGUCAAGCACAACCUCUAAUCCUCAAAGUCAUUACAUGACUAAAACUGUACUUUUACAUAACAUUAAUACAUUUAUCAUGCCCACACUAUCUAUUACAUACACAUGACUUCAUUACUCUUACGGAUCUCCUGGUCUACCCUGUACCUGCAAUCCUGGGGAAAAUGGGAGAGGGGUGAGCUACUAGAGCCCAGUGAGCAAAAUAAUAAAAACAUUUAAAUCAUAUGGCAUCAUGGAAUGCAUCACAUCACAGCUAAUCACAUCAAGGAUGAACUUGUCACCAAUAGCCCUCUACAUAGUCCAACUGUGCCAGAACGUAGAAUGGGUCCUGGUCUUUCUCUUACAUAACAUAGCAUAACAUAACAGUCCAACUGUGCCAGAACGUAGAAUGGGUCCUGGUCUUUCCCUUACAUGGUGCCAGCGAACGUAGAAUGGGUCCCACUGGUCUUACAUUCCGUACCGUACAUAUCACAUCAUCAUAUCAUAGAUCGAGGGCUUUGGAUCAUCCAACGUUCAUCCACAUCAAUCAACAAUAAAGUAUGCAAUGCAACAUAUUCGUGAAUUCUAAUGCAAACAACCUAGUACAUCUCAUGGCAUUCAUGAUGCGUGAAACAUGCUAAAAAGUCCAUUAUUUGCUUUAAAACAUA